RNAcentral lists this long non-coding RNA (580 nucleotides) under Phasianus colchicus (ring-necked pheasant). RNAcentral's name for it is "lncRNA (ENSPCLG00000000840.1)". The record is from RNAcentral. Lineage: Eukaryota; Metazoa; Chordata; Aves; Galliformes; Phasianidae.
CCUUGAGGUCAAAACACACAGGUGGUUGAUGGAUGGCAGUGAGUGCAACAUACUCAAUACACAGUUCCUUGUUGGCUCUACCACCCUGUGACUCUGCAGUUUCUAAUCAUAUAUCUUCACUAAUAAUUGUAGCAGAUCUAGUAGCAGAUAAGGGAUUGACAAUGAGGGAAUAUGUGUGGGACUAGGAACUGAAUCAGUCUACGAAGGGUGGGAAGCAGUACUUGUGCUGCUAAGAGCAACUGAUAUUACGUAUGCUGAGGAUUAAUGGACAUUUUGAAUGAAAUGUAAGAGAAGGCAAUGCAGCGGCAUGUGGGGAUUUCAGACAUAGAAAGACCUGAAGCUGUCUGGGGAAAUGGGAUUCAUUUGGUAUUUCUCCUGUAGUGGUGUCUGUGUAUGUGUUUUGGAGGACUGGGGGAAAACAGGUAGAGUCAUCUGUAGAUGGAUUCCCUUAAGAGAUUUGAGACUAUUUGCUGUACAGAAAACAUGUUUGCAGUUGGUGAAAGACUUUCUCUGGACAGCAGGGUACAGUAGCUGUGCCUUGUAUCUUUCCAAAUUCCUGCAGAAAUGGUGGAAGAUUUAA